Molecule: long non-coding RNA, 12546 nt
Organism: Pan troglodytes (chimpanzee)
Lineage: Eukaryota; Metazoa; Chordata; Mammalia; Primates; Hominidae
Exons: 4
Source: RefSeq, a predicted model, not a curated record
CAGAGCAGGACUUGCUGAUGACUAUGGCCCAGAAUGGUCUCAGGCCAUCCAAAGUUCUUUCUGUUUAUGACAGAAAAGAGAGUCCCAUUAUCUCUAUUCUGGAAAAUAUCACUCAAAUCAUUUGUCAGUGUUCCCUUCAAAAAUCCAAAGUGGUUUGCACUCCUCUGAGUGUUUUUAUGGGUCAAACUAGAUAUAAUAAAAAGUAUUUGUUUUGUUUCAAAGGAGAUAAGUUCAAGCUAUUCAAUUCCCUCUUUCCCACAAAACCAAUCCAAUCACAUUUAAAUUUAUUAGGAAUGAGAAACACACACAUAUCUCCAUCAUCCCCUGAUUUCCCAAAGAAGGCUUUGGAGAGAGUGGAAAACAUGGGAAUGAUACUUUGAUUAUCAUUGUUAUUUCCUGGAUACAGCUGGAUUACAAGAAGCUGUGAAGUGGUUUUACUUUUUAAAAAAAUCCAACAGUUCUAGUUUUGCUGACAAGAGAAAGGUCCAACUUCCUCUCAUAGGAAAGACUUAAUCUUGUUAUAUUUCUAACCACAUUUUGGGUGGGACAGCACUAAAUAGAACAGAUAAGCAGCAAAUCUUCCAGAUGCUUACCCUGAAUAAAUCUCCAAACUUUGAAGGGACUGUCUGAGAGCUAAUCUUUUCAGUUUUAAACUUGAGUCAGCCAAUGAUGAACAAUAAAAUGGUCGGUGACUAAACAAGUACUCGCUGCUGUAUUAUCCGGGCCAUUUGCUUGAUCAUUUCCUCUGGUUAAAAACAAGUAUUUGUUCUUUCAAGUAUUUGUUUUGUUCGGGCUCCAAAAGUUAAAGAGGAAACUAUCACCCCCUAAGAGGAAGCCAAUAUCAUUUGUCACAAGUUUAAAGAUGGACAAAAGCCUGGAUGACAGCACAUCUGUUGAAAGCAUGGUUUACUGAAUAUUUUAAGCCCAUUGCUGAGAUCUAAUGCUUGGAAAAAAAUAAUUCCUUUCAGAAUAUUGCUGCUCAUUGACAAUACACUUGGUUGCCCAAGAGUUCUGAUAGACAUAUACAAAGAAAUUGAUCUUGUUUUCAUGCCUGCUAACACAAGAUCUGUCUGCAGUCCAUGGAUCAAGCAUAAUUUCAACUUCAAGUCUUAUUAUUUAAGAAAUACAUUUUGUAAGACCAUAGCUGACAUAGAUUGUAAUUCUUCUGGUGGAUCUGGGAAAAGUCAGUUAAAAUCUUCUGAAAAGGAUUCACAAUUCUAGAUGCCAAAGGGAACAUUUAUGAUUCACAGGAAGAGGUCAAAAUAUAAACAUUAACAGGAGUUUGGAAGAAGUUCAUUCCAACCCUCAUGAAUGACUUUGAGGGGUUCAAGACUUCAGUAGGGAAAGUAACUGCAGGUGUGGUGGAAAUAGCAAGAGAACCAGAAUUGGAAGUGGAUCCUGAAGAUGUAUCUGAAUUGCUGAAAUCUCAUGAUAAAACUUGAACAAAUUGGGAGUUGCUUCUUAUGGAUGAGCAAAGAAAGUGGUUUCUUGAGAUGGCAUGUCAAGAAUAUCAAGAAUAGCAUCUGGGGAAGAUGUUGUGAAUAUUGUUGAAAUAACAAUCAAGGAUUUAAACUAUUCCAUAAAGUUAGUUGAUAAAGCAGAAGCCAGUUUUGAGAGGACUGAAUCCAAUUGUAAAAGAAGUUCUACUGUGCAUAAAAUGCUGUCAAAUAGUAUCAUAUACCACACAAAAAUCUUCCAUGUAAAGAAGAGUCAAUUGAUGUGGAAAACUUCAUUGUUGCCUCUUUUUUGUUUGUUUGUUUGUUUGUUUUGAGAAGGAGUCUUGCUCUGUCGCCCAGGCUGGAGUGCAGUGGAUCGAUCUCCGCUCGCUGCAAGCUCCGCCUUCCGGGUUCACGCCAUUUUCCUGGCUCAGCCACCCAAGGAGCUGGGGACUACAGGCGCCCGCCACCACGCCCGGUUAAUUUUUUUGUAUUUUUAGUAGAGACAGGGUUUCACUAUUAGCUAGGAUGGUCUCGAUCUCCUGACCUGGUGAUCUGCCCGCCUCGGCCUCCCAAAGUGCUGGGAUUACAGGCGUGAGCCACCACACCCAGCCGCAAUUGUUGCCUUUUUUUAAGCAAUUGCCACAACCCCCACCACCCCCAACCUUCAGUAACCACCACCCUACUCAUCAGAAGUCAUCAACAUUGAGGCAACAUCCUCCACCAACAAAAAGAUUACUACUUGCUGAAGGCUCCAAUAAUUGUUAGCAUUUUUUUUUUUUGCAAUAAGGUAUUUUAAAUUAAAGUAUGUCUAUUUUUAGACAUAAUGCUAUUGAUUAUGUCUUAUAAUCAAUAAUCAACACUUAAUAGAUUACAGUAUAGUGUAAGCAUGACUUUUAAAUGCAUUGGGAAGCCAAACAAUUCAUUUGACUCUCUUUAUUGUGAUAUUUGCUUUAUUGUGAUGGUCUGGAACCAAACUUAUAAUAUUUCCAAGGUAUGCCUAUAAUUUAUUUGGGAGGUGAUCUCAGAAAAGGAUGAGUGGGGAAGUGGAGAUAUGAGAUAGGAAAAGGCAGGAAACCCAAGGGUGCAGAAUCAACAAAUUAUCACCAUGGGAUGUGAGGCAAGUACUGGUGGGGAAAAUACCUCAGAGUUGUCUCACAAUAGGUGUAAAAACAGGUAGGGUAUUUAUCCACCAAAUCCCGGCCUAUCAUUGAAUGAAAGCUGCUUCAGUCUCUCUGGCAUUUCAACUUGCCCUGCAAGUGAGCUGAGUGUGCUCUGAGCAUGCCAGAACAGACACCUUUCAGCAGAGUGCUGCAGGUGUCCACAGGAAGCAGCCUUCAGUCUGGAGAAGUGAGUGCCAAGGGUAUAAGAGCAAAAACAACAGUAUCUGCUAAAUUGCAAACAAACAGUUACAAACAUGAAUCUGAAAAUAGAUGAACUGUCAUUUGCUCAAAGGAAUAUUAUAUAACAGUUCAGAUGGACAGUGUAGCUCUACAAUAGUGAACGUCAAUAAAUUUCCAAAUAAGAUAUUGAGAAAAAAUGGAAUUUGUAUCAUAAUAAUUAAUAUAUGUAACAUUUCCAUGCAGUUUAAAAGAAUGAAAAACUAUAGCAAAUUCAGGAAGAGCAGGUGCAUUUAGAGAAUAGCAGAAAGAAAAGAAGGAAAGUUACACAAAGGACCUCAGCUUUAUUUCUGGUUUUUUGUUUUUUUAAAAAGCCAAACAUGGAAAAAUGUUAAGUAUAAAAAAUCUGGAUGUGCAUACGUGAGUAUUCAUAUUAAUAUUUUCAUAUUUUUCUCUAUAUGAUUUAUAUUGAAUAACAGAAAGUUUUAAAGAAAUGAGCUAGCUUAAAUCUAGGUUGUUCUUAUUAAAAAUCCAAGCUUCUAGAAGAAAGUGAAGUAGGUGUGAAGAAAAAUAUAAAACAUUGAUAGUAUCUGAUGUGGAAGUUUUCAAUAUUGAUUAUUUGUAAAAACAUCAUUAAUUUUGAUAGAGAAUGAUAGCAAGGAUAUGACACAUGUAAAUAACUUCUAUAAUAAAAUAGCUAUGAGGAUUAAAAAAGCAGUUGGCAAAAUAUCUUAAAAAGAUUAAGUGCUAUACAGUGUAACUAGUAUAAUUAUUACUAAAUUGCAGUGACAUUGUGAAAUGUUCCAAUGUCAGUUGUUGAAUAUUUACGGAAAUUAUUGCCUUGUCUUUUGUCAAAACAAAACAGAAUUUCCUCUUUCUCCAUAUUUUUCCUGUUAUGAUAGGAGGAUUCUGGUUUUUGAUAAAAUUUUAUGCACAUUUUAUCAUUUGGAAGUAUGAAAAGCUGAAACUUUAAAAAAGACUGAAUGUUGCUUGUGCUUUACACAUAUUCAUGGCAAGAAUGACAGUAAAAAUAUGUCUACAAAUAUCUAGUGCUUACAAUAUUCUAGCAGUGGGAUAAAUGCUUUCCAUAUAUACUCUCAUACAGUCCUUAUUACAACGUUGUUAUGGAAGUUUCUGUUUUUCUUACUUUGCAGAUGGGGAAGGUGAAACACCGCUCAGUGUAAGUGGCUUGCCCAAGAAUAUAAAGUUAGGACAUGGAGUGGCCAGGACUCGAAAUGACUGCUGUUAGCUCAUUAAAAGCCUGCACCUUUAGUCACUCUGCUGUACAUUGCCCCCCAAAAAGGAAAAAAAAAGUUAGUUAAAUUCCACUAUACAAAGCAACAAAGCAUCAAAUUUUAUUUUAAUAUUUCUCAAAAUAAAUUGGCCAUUAUUAGGUUUUUGAAAUCUUUAGGGUCAUAAGCACUCCAUUAUAAUGUUUUAUUGUAAUAAGAUUUAGUCUAUUUGUGAUAAUCCACUUUGCAAUUGCACAUUUGUAAUGUUUACAUGUUACAUUAUAUUAUGCAAGAGGGCUAAGACAAUUUAGUAUACCUGUGACUGGCAUGCACUUACUAGAACUUAAGGAGAUUCACUUUAAGAAAACCCUCCUUUGGAAUGUAUGUAUGAAUGGCGCUGCUUCUGGCAGUAUAUGUAACACUUCAGCACCUGCCAGUGUUUGACCUUGCCUACUCUUGUCAAACACAAAAAGUGUUAAUAGUCUCAGUGAGAAACCUGGCUGUCACCAUUAUGCUAGGAACAGGUUACUAGGUGUGGGACGGACACAGCACACUUGCACAGGUUUUGUAUGAGCUAGUCCUGAGCUUUGACUGCUCUCCUUGCCUCUCAUCUGAGAUCAUGACCCUUCAAGCUGUCUGGUCAAGACUCUGUUAAGAACAAAUGGUGUACUGUUUAGUCAAUUGUGUUAUGCUACUUACAAUCCAAAAAUUAUAGUAGCUUACAAUAUUUAUUCCUUUACAUGAGUGAUGCAGGUCAGCUGCAGACAUGUUGGUUACAUAGGUAACCAGAUAUGGACUUCACUGGGCUGCACUAGGUCCAGUGGGCCAUCCUUGUAUGGCUACUUGUCCCAAGAUCCAGAAUUAAGGAGUGGCCACUGCCUAGGGCAUGGUGUUCCCAUGGUAGAGGGAAAUGUUAAGGGUAAAGGGAGAAAAAUCACACAAGCUCAUUUAAAGCUUCUGUUCAGAUGCCGCUUGCCUCACAUCUACAACCGUUCCACUGACCAACCCACGUCAAAUGGCCAUGGACAAAGCUAAUGGGAUGGAAAAGUAUACUUCACCUAUGGGGAAGGUAAUACAAAAUUUGUGGCAAAGGGUAAACGUGAAUUUUUUUUUUCUUUUUCUGAGAUGGAGUCUCGCUCUGUCGCCCAGACUGGAGUGCAGUGGUGCGAUCUCGGCUCACUGCAAGCUCUGCCUGCUGGAUUCAUGCCAUUCUCCUGCCUCAGCCUCCCAAGUAGCUGGGACUACAGGUGCCCACCACCACGCCCGGCUAAUUUUUUUGUAUUUUUAGUAGAGACGGCGUUUCACCACGUUAGCCAGGCUGGCCUUGAUCUCCUGACCUCGUGAUCCACCCAUCUCGGCCUCCCAAAGUUCUGGGAUUAUAGGUGUGAGCCACUGCACCCAGUCAACAUGUAAUUUUUUAGUGGGAAAAAGGUAAUAAUUGGGAGUCAAAUAGUUCAAUUUACCACAGUAGAAAAAAUAUCAAAGGAGAAGGAAUGAGAAAUUAUAUAUAUAUAUAUAUGGGAAAUAAAUAUAUAUAUAUGCACACACUAAAUUAUAAAUAUACAAGUAUUGUAGUAAUAAAAUUUUUAAGCUAUAAAAUCAUCAAUUUCCUAAAAUCAUUGCCAUCAAGCUCAUAAUAAUAUUUAGGGAGAAAUCUCAAUGCCCCUACCUCUUGUGUUUCCACCUGGAGGGAUUUCAGCUUUUCUCAUCCCCCUUGUUCACACCUCCAGGGUAGAAGGAAUAGGUGAGUUUAGAAGCAUCUGUGAAUGCAUGACUCAUGUCCUCUGGGCUCUCGCUUCUGAAGCAUCCCUGUCUAGUGGGAUGGUAUGUUCUACUCUAUCCCUAUCCUCUUUCCAAGGUAAGAGUCUUGUCCCUGUCCAGCUGUGUUGGUGACUGGUUUGGUACAUUUUAUUUACAGAGGAAUCAUUAGAAAUAGACAAAGAAGUCUUUUCCUCAGUUGGUUCCACCUUUAGUCAGGGAAGAGGACUGUUCUUGCUGGCUCCUUCCCAAAACUGUAGUAAUAAUAGUGUUGGUAACAGCUAAUAUUAAUUAAAUACCUACCACUUAAAUACAGAAUCUCAUUCAUUGUCAUAAUGAGCCUGAAAACUGUUCAAUCAAUUUUACAGUUGAACAAACUGAGCCUCAGAAGAGUUAUGUGAUCCUCCCAAGGUCGCACAGCUAAUAAAUUGGUGGACCUGAGUUACAGUUGUAAAUAAUAUUUACCUGUAUGUUUUUUCUUCCAAGUUAUUUAUAUGAACAGGGUGUACAUAUGCAGGUUUGUUACAUGAGUGAAUUUCAUGUCGGGGGGUUUGGCCUACAGAUCAUUUUGUCACCCAGGUAAUGUGCAUGGUACCUCACAGGUAGAUUUUUUAAUCUCCUAUCUCUUCUUCCCACCCUCCACCCUCAAGUAAGCCCUAGUGUCUAUUUUUCCCUUCUUUGUGUCCAUGUAGUCAAUGUUUAGCUCUCACUUACAAGUGACAACAUGCAGUAUUUGGUUUUCUGCUCCUGCGUUAAUUAGCUUAGAAUAAUGGCCUGCAGCUUCAUGCAUGUUACUGCAAAAGAUAUGAUUUAAUUCUUAUUUAUGGCUGCAUAGUAUUCCACAGUAUAUAUGUAUCACAUUUUCUUUAUCAAGUCCACCACUUUUGGACAUUUAAGUUGACUCCAUGGUUUUGCUAUUGUAAGUAGUGCUCCAGUGAACCAUACAUGCGCAUGUAUCUUUAUGGUGGAAUGAUUUAUAUUCCUUUGGGUAUAUACCCAAUAAAGGGAUUGCCAAGUUGAAUGCUAGUUCUCAGUUCUUUGAGAAAUCUCCAAACUUCUUUUCACAGUGGCUGAACUAAUUUACAUUCCCACCAGCAGUCUAUAAGCGUUCCUUUUCUCCACAAUCUCACCAGCAUAUUUUUUUUUUACUUAAUAAUAGGCAUUCUGACUGGUGUGAGAUGAUAUCUCAUUGGGGUUUUGAUUUGCAUUUCUCUAAUGAUUAAUGAUGUUGAGCAUUUUUUUCAGAUGCUUGUUGGCCGCUUUAUAUAUGUCUUCUUUUGAGAAGUGUCUUUUCAUGCCCUUUGCCCAUUUUUUUUAAUGGGAUUGUUUGUGCUUUCUUGUUGAUUUAUGUUCCUUCUAGAAUCUGGAUAUUAGACCUUUGUUGGGUACACCGUUUGCAAAUAUUUUCUCCCAUUCUGUAGGUUGUCUGUUUUCUCUGUUGAUAGUUUCUUUUGCUGUGCAGAAGUUCUUCAAUUAGGUGCCACUUGUCAAUUUUUAGUUUUCUUGCGAUUGAUUUUGAAGUCUUCACUAUGGAAUCUUUGCCAGGGUUCAUGUCCAGAAUGGUACUUCCCAGGUUUUCUUGUACAGUUUUUAUAGCUUUAGGUUUUACAUUUAUAUCUUUAAUCCAUCUUGAGUUGAGUUUUUAAUAUGGUGAAAGUAAAUGGCCUAGUUUCAAUCUUCUACAUAUGGCUAGCCAGUUAUCCCUGCACCAUUUGUUGAAUAGGGAGUCCUAUCCCCAGAGCUUGUUGUUGUCAGCUUUGCUGAAUAUCAUAUGGUUGUAGGUGUGCAGCUUUAUUUCAGGGUUCUCUAACCUGUUCCAUUGGUUUAUGUGUCUGUUUUUGUACCAGUACCAUAAUAUUUUGGUUACUGUAGCCUUAUAGUAAAGUCAGGUAAUGUGAUGGCUCUGGCUUUAUUCUUUCAGCUGAGGAUUGUAUUGGCUAUUCAGACUUUUUUAAAAUUCCAUAUGAAUUUUAGAAUAGUUUUUUUCUAAUUAUGUGAAAAAAUGCCACUGUUAAUUUGAUUGGAAUAGCACUGAAUAUGUAAAUUGCUUUGAGUAGUAUGGCCAUUUUAACAAUAUUGAUUCUUCCUAUCCAUGAACAUGGAAUGAUUUUCCAUUUGCUUGUGCCAUCUCUGAUUCCUUUGAGCAGUGUUUUGUAAUUCUCAUCACAGAGAUCUUUCACCUCCCUGGUUAGUAUUCCUGGGUAUUUUAUUCUUUUUGUGGUUAUUGUGAAUGGGAUUAUGUUCUUUAUUUGGCUUGGAAGUUACUGAUGUAUAGAAAUGCUACUGAGUUUUGUACAUUGAUUUUAUAUCCUGAAACUUUGCUGAAGUUGUUUAUCAGAUAGCUAUAGUAUAGGAGCUUUUGGGCAGAGAUAUGGGGUUUUCUAGGUAAAGAAUCAUAUAAUCUGUGAAGAGAGGUAGUUUAACUUCCCUCUUCCUAUUUUGAUGCCUUUUAUACCUCUUUCUUGCCUGAUUGUUGUGGUAGGACUUCCAGUACUAUGUGGAAUAGGAGUAGUAAGAGUGGGCAUCCUUGUCUUGCUUCGGUUCUCAAGAGGAAUUCUUUCAGAUUUUGUGCACUCAGUAUAUGUUGGCUGUGGGUUUGUCAAACAUGACUCUUAAUUUGAGAUAUGUUCCUUUGAUGCUUAGUUUGUUGAGGGUUUUUAAAAUGAUGGCAUGUUGAAUUUUCUCAAAAGCCUUUUCCACAUCUAUUAAGAUAAUCACAUGGUUUUUGUUUUUAGUUCUGUUUAUGUGAUGAAUCACAUUGAUUAAUUUGUGUAUGUUGAACCAACCUUGAAUCCCAAAAGGAAUCCACCACUUGAUCAUGGUGGAUUAGCUUUUAGAUGUGCUGCUGGAUUCAGUUUGUUAGUAUUUUGUUCAGGAUUUGGCAUCUAUGUUCAUCAGGGAUAUUGGCCUGAAGUUUCUUUUUUUCAUUGUGUCUCUGAUAGGUUUGGGUAUCAGAAUGAUGCUGGUCUCAUACGAUGAGUUAGAGUCCCUCCUCCUCAGUUUUUGGACUAGGUUUUGUAGGAAUGGUACCAGCUCUUCUUUAUGCAUCUGGUAGGAUUCAGCUGUGAAUAUGUCUGGUCCAGGGCUUUUUCUGUUUGGUAGGUUUUUUAAUUACUGAUUCUAUUUCUGAAUCCAUUAAUGGUCUGUUCAGGAUUUCAAUUUCUUCCUAGUUCAAUCUUAGGAUGUUGUAUGUUUCCAGGCAUUUAUCCAUUUCUCCUAGGUUUUCUAGUUUGUGUGUAUAGAAGUGUUUGUAAUAGUCUCAGGGGCAUUUUGUAUUUCUGUGGGGUCAGUGGUAAUGUCCCCUUUAUUAUUUCUGAUUGUAUCUAUUUGGCUUUUCUCCUUUUUCCUUUAUUAUUCUAGCUAGUUGUCUAUCAAUCAAUUUUAUUUAUUCUUUCAAAAAAGACACUUCUGGUUUUGUUUCUCUUUUGUGUGUUUUUUCUCAUUUCCAUUUCAUUCAUUUCAGCUCUGAUUUUCAUUAUGUUUUUCUGCUAGCUUUGAGGUUGGUUUGCUUUUGUUUUUCUAGCUCCUCUAGGUGUGAGGUUAGGUUGCUAAUUUGAGAUCUUUCUAACUAACUUUUUAAUGUGUGCAUUUAGUGCUAUAAGUUUUUCUCUUAACACUCCUUUAGCUGUGUCCCAGAGAUUCUGGUAUGUUGUAUCUUUGAAACUGAUAAAAGUUUCAAAGAAUUUCUUGAUUUCUGCCUUAAUUUCAUUGUUUACCCAAAAGUCAUUCAGUAGGAGGUUAAUUUCCAUGUAAUUGUAUGGUUUUGAGAGUUCCUCUCAGUAUUGAUUUCUAUUUUCUUUGUGCUGUGGUCCGAGAGUGUGGUUGUUUUGAGUUUUUUGAGAAUUGCUUUAUGGCCAAGCAUGUGGUUGAUUUUGGAAUAUGUGCCAUGUACAGAUAAGAAGAAUGUAUAUUCUAUUGCUGUUGGGUGGAGUGUUCUGUAGAUGUCUAUUAGAUACAUUUGGUCAAGUGUAGAGUUUAGGUCUCAAAUAUCUUUGUUAGUUUUGUGCCCUGAUGAUCUAAUACUGUCAGUGGGGUUUUGAAGUCUCCCAUUAUUAUUGUAUGGUUAUCUAAGCCCCUUCAUAGGUCUCUACGAACUUCUUAUUUUAUGAAUUUGAGUCCUCCUAUGUUGGGUGCAUAUAUAUUUAGGAUAGUUAAGUCUUCCUGUUGAAUUAAACACUUUAUCAUUAUGUAAUGCCCUUCUUUGUCCUUUUUGAUCAUUGUUGAUUUAAAGUCUAUUUUGUCUGAAAUAAGACUAGUAACCCCUGCUCUUUUUUGUUUUUUGUUUUCUUGAUAGAUCUUUCUCUGUCCCUUUACUUUGAGCCUAUGGUUGUCACUGCAGGUGAGAUGGGUCUCUUGAAAACAGCAUAAAGUUGGGUCUUGCUUCUUUAUCCAACUUGUCACUCUGUGCCUUUUAAGUGGAGUACUUAGCCCUUUUAUGUUCAAAGUUAGUAUGGAUAUGUGUAGAUUUGAUGCUGUCAUCAUGUUGUUAACUUGUCGUUAUGUAGACUUGAUUGUGUAGUUGCUUUAUAGUGUCAAUAGUCUAUGUACUUAAGUGUGCUUUUGUUUUGGUUGGUAAUGAUCUUCCAUUUCCAUGUUUAGCACUUCCUUAUGGACCUCUUGUAAGUAGGUCUCGUGAUAACAAAUUCCCUUAGUAUUUGCUUGUCUAAAAAUAAUUUUAUUUCUCCUUUGCUUAUGAAGCUUAGCUUGACUGGCUAUAAAAUUCUUGGUUGGAAAUUCUUUAAGGAUGCUGAAUAUAGGCCCACAAUCUCUUCUGGCUUGUUGGAUUUCUGCUGAAAGGUCCACUGUUAACCUAAAGGGGUUCCCUUUAUAGGUUACCUGCACCUUCUCUCUAACUGUCUUUAAUAUUUUUUCUUUCACAUUGGCCUUGGAGAGUCUGAUGACUAUGUGUCUUGGGGAUGGUCAUUGUGUAUUGUAUCUUUCAGGGGUUCUCUGAAUUUCUUGAAUGUAAAUGUCAACUUCUCUAGCAAGAUUGGGGAAAUUUUUGUGGACAAUAUCCUCAAGUAUAUUUUCCAAGUUGCUUGCUGUUUCUCCCUCUCUUUCAGGGACACCAAUGAGUCAUAGGUUUGGUCUUUUUACAUAAUCUUAUAUUUUUCAGAGGUUUUGUUCAUUUUUAUUUAUUCUUUUUUCUUUAUUUUUGUCUGAGUUGAUUCAAAGCAUCAGUAUUUGAGCUCUGAAAUUCUUUCCACAGCUUGGUCUAUCCUGUUGUUAAUACUUGGGAUUAGAUAAUAAAAUUCUUGUAGUGAGUCUUUCAGCUCUAUCAGAUCCAUAUGGUUCUUUCUUAAAAUAGCUAUUUUUGUCUUUCAUCUCUUGAAUCAUUUUAGUGGAUCCCUUAGAUUCCUUAGAUUGCAUUUCAACUUUCUCCUGAAUCUCAAUGAGAUUUAUUGCCAUCUAGAUUCUGAAUCCUAUGUUUGUCAUUUCAGCCAUUCCGCUCUGGUUAAGAACCAUUGCUGGGAAGCUAGUACAGACCUGAGUUUCAAUGCCAGGCAUAUUGGAAGCCAAACUGUACAACACUGUUCUGGCCCCUUCUGCCUUUGUGUGCAAUAGCAAUGCUCAAGAUAGGGAGAAGCCCAGGAAAGGAGAGAUAAGGCCGAGUGUCUGAAAUGUCAGGUAUUUUUAUUGUCUUGAUUUCUUUGUUACACAGUAAAUUGUUAAUAACUUAGACUUUUUAACCAUAGAGGUUUGACAUCUUUAUGUGAAUUUUGGAAAUGUAUUAGUAUGUCUCUAAAGUGGCAUAAUUCUGAUUAUUAAAACCUACUAAUUUAUUAAUAUAUCAUUAAUUUCAUUAGAAGACAAUGCUAAGAUGGAGUUUAACUCAAAGAAAUUUUCAUUAGUACAAAUUUUACAAAUAUAUCUCUAUUCUGAUACAAAGAUCUACCAGUACAGAGAGGGAUAAUGACCUUUUUGUGGGAUUUAGGAGACCCACCUGGGUCUUAUAAAGUUUUCUGUAAUGCUUACGCCCUUUAACUAUUGACUAUUGACCAAUUAUGGUAAUUGAAGAUGUGACUUCUAUCAAUAUAAUUAUAAGAUUUUUGGAUAUAGCUAAAGAUUUAAAAAAAUUUUAACAGUGACAGAUGAUGAUAUUUUUGUCCUUUACCUGAUAUUUAUGUAUCUUUUUAGGCUUGUUUUAAUUUUCAUGAUAAUAUGGUACCAUGUCUUUUUCUUUGAACCCUGAGAUUAAUAAACUGUAUUCCUGGAGACUUCCUAUUCACAUAAGUGCUAUUAUCUCAAAAUCUUGAUAUAAGAAAACAUCACAAGCCUCAAUUCCUUCCUGCCCUUUUCUUCGUGUUACUUGUCAAACUGUUAUUGGAAAUGAGUCUCUGACCUUUUUUUCUCCCACACAAUUUCUAAUAAAGAUGCUGCCACACGGCCGUAUCCUAGUAACUAGGUUUUAUGCUGAGAAAGACUAUUAAGAAAGAGUCCAAGAUAGGGCUAAUUUCGACCACGAGUAAAGGUAAUUUGCUAGUCUUGUUCUUUUUCUUGAUUUCUUUAAUUUAGAUGAAUAACAGAGCUAACCUUAAUGUUCCUUCUGAUAAAAAUACUGUCCUAUAGACCCAAAUUAGCAUAUUUGCUUUUGAUUACCUUGCAAAACUCUAUUUGCUCUCUUUUCUUAAAAGCUUAAUAAUUCAUAUAAGGCUUCAGAGGAAUAAAAUCACUAUGUGUGGGUGAAAAAUCCUAACUUCCCUGCUGAGGUUCAAUGGCAGCCUUCAAAGAAUUUUUUAAAUAAAUAAUGGAAAGAGAUACUCCAUCUUGCCUCUGAAC